CCACAUGCUACUGAGGCUCCUAAUUGUGAAAUGAAUACAUUGUUAAAUUGACGAUAUGUCUUGUUUUUUCAAACUUCAAUCAUCCAAUCCACCAAAUGGGUCAAUAGCAGAAUAAGCUGUUUGGCAUUGGCAGAGAAGAUUUGGCAUAUUUUUCAUGGGCCCAACCCAUAUACUCAGCUCUGCUGCUCAUCUCACAAGAGCAUGUUUCUUAAAAAUGGAACACCAUUUGAAAGGGAACUGAGCAGGCUUUCCAACGGUAUAAGAGUUAUUGCCAAAAAGCAUUGUUACCACAGAGAAAUAAUCUACCAAACCCAAAUUCUGUUACUUUUUGUGCUAAGUUUAUAUCCCCUAAAGGC
Molecule: long non-coding RNA, 356 nt
Organism: Etheostoma cragini (Arkansas darter)
Lineage: Eukaryota; Metazoa; Chordata; Actinopteri; Perciformes; Percidae
Exons: 3
Source: RefSeq, a predicted model, not a curated record